This 430-nucleotide unclassified non-coding RNA is filed under the name Hevea brasiliensis (rubber tree). Lineage: Eukaryota; Viridiplantae; Streptophyta; Magnoliopsida; Malpighiales; Euphorbiaceae. The record is from RNAcentral.
CACAUGAUCAGGCAAAUGUUCAAGUAAGGAUUUUUUUUUUUCUUCCCUAUUUUGUUUUGACAUGCUUUUAUACUCAAGUGAUUUAAAAAAAAUGUGUUCCUUAAUAGUUAGAACUUAGGAAGCUUACAUGAAUUUUUGACGACCAAUUGGAUAACCAUCUCAUUAGUUAUGAGCAUACAUAUUUUCUUCCAUGUAAAAUGAUUACAUCCACACAUGGGUCAAGAUUUCUGUUUGCAAUCGUAUUUCAGUUUUGAUUUAACAAUUAAUUGGAUUUGAGUUGGCCUUAUUUAUGAUUCUGAAAUCUUAAUAAGCCAGCCUAAACCAUCCAGGCAUAUUUUUUGUGAUAACUUUGACAAAUAUUAGCAUGUAUGUUUGUGUUGUUUCAAUUGUAGAUGCAACAACUCGUUUUUAUUCUUAUAAUAAUCACUAG